CAAAUUAUCCUCAUAAGUUUGACAAUAAGAGGAACCAUUAAUAAUAAUUUUAGCCAUAAUAUUAUUUAAUUAAAGGUAUAAUAAAAUCGGAGGCCCCGACUGUUUACUAAAAACACAAUUCAGAGCAAUGAUUAAUAUCAUAGUAUUCUGGAUGAAAUUUGCCCAAUGCCAUUAAUAUAAGAGAGGUAAUAGGUAACUGUUACUAAUCGAAAGUCUGGUUAAUAGCGGUCUUAACUAUGAGGAUCCAAAGGUAGCAAAAUAAAUUGGCCAUUAAAUGUGGUCUUGUAUCAAUAAUGUAACGAUGGUCUCACUGUCUCUACAACUUGCUCAGUGAAAUUGAAUUACCCGUGCAGAUGCGGGUUACCUCCAGGGGGACGGGAAGACCCUAUGCAGCU
RNAcentral lists this ribosomal RNA (395 nucleotides) under Hericium coralloides. RNAcentral describes it as "LSU rRNA". It matches the Rfam family "Bacterial large subunit ribosomal RNA", at positions 1718 to 2100 of the family's 2925-position model. Lineage: Eukaryota; Fungi; Basidiomycota; Agaricomycetes; Russulales; Hericiaceae. The record is from RNAcentral.